UACGUAGGGGGCUAGCGUUGUCCGGAAUCAUUGGGCGUAAAGAGCGUGUAGGCGGCCCGGUAAGUCCGCUGUGAAAGUCGGGGGCUCAACCCUCGAAUGCCGGUGGAUACUGUCGGGCUAGAGUGCGGAAGAGGCGAGUGGAAUUCCUGGUGUAGCGGUGAAAUGCGCAGAUAUCGGGAGGAACACCAAGUGCGAAGGCAGCGCGCUGGGACGUAACUGACGCUGAGACGCGAAAGCGUGGGGAGCAAACAGG
This 253-nucleotide ribosomal RNA is filed under the name uncultured bacterium. Its description in RNAcentral is "partial 16S ribosomal RNA". It matches the Rfam family "Bacterial small subunit ribosomal RNA", at positions 524 to 776 of the family's 1533-position model. The record is from RNAcentral.